This 504-nucleotide long non-coding RNA is filed under the name Lepeophtheirus salmonis (salmon louse). RNAcentral describes it as "uncharacterized LOC121129320". Lineage: Eukaryota; Metazoa; Arthropoda; Copepoda; Siphonostomatoida; Caligidae. The record is from RNAcentral.
AAAUCGAAAGGAUUAUUCAGAUGAUAAAAAAAUAUAGAAUCCGGAUAUAAAUUUGUGGAUUUGAGGUGGAAGGUACUAGAAUAGCAAUGUGUUCAAGACAAACACAGCUUUGGAAAACCGAAAUCUCUUCUGGAUCAUUUUAGAAAGUACUUUACGGAAGAGAAUGCUCCAAAAAACAUAACAUGGUACACCCUUUUUACCGCCAGAGCUAAUCAUCUAUUGUUUGAUAUGGAAGAUGUACUUAUCAAACUUUCAUGUGAGCAAACACUAAAGACAAGAUUUUGAUAAAAUACUUUAAGCAGCUUUAGACUUACUUUUACCAUUUGGAUUAACUUAUUUAUGUGAGAAGACCUUUUUGUAUUAACUUACAUCACAAAAAAAAUACAGAUCGCGGCUUAGCGUUGAGAAUGAUCUUGGAGUUGCUGUAUCAAUAAUUAAACAGAGUUUUUCACAAUGCAUAGUGACCAUCUGUCACAUUAAUAAAAUGUCACAUCUAUAAACCUA